AAGGCACUCAUUCUCAACUACGAGCAUCCAAGAGCUCACUGAGUCAAUAUCGUCGCCCUCCCUUAAUUCCGUCGGGAGAUAUUCCACGCGAAAGCUAUGGUUCCUUUCUUGUGAUCGGGAGGUAUCAAUUGAAGUCUUUGAUGAUAGUUUCCUAUGCUGGGGAAUGGGCGUUGCAGUCUCUCCCUCGACCAAUCAGAGGGCGGAACCGAUCGAUGAUCUACCGGUUCCGAGUCUGGUGGAGCAGUGGACCUCUUAUGAGCUUUAGCAAAAGGUGCUGGAGAUGCCGGAGAUGCGUAUGCUCUACUGAAGCAAGAUUCAGUCGUAUCGGUAGAAUGCAUCCCGGAGCCAGCAAAUGUAAACAAACGUUGGACAAAGCACAAAACAAUGGGGAAAAGUCACAAAGCCUUUGGACAAGCCAUCUGGGCCCAGCGCCUGAAAAAAUUCGCACAACAAAAAUGCUGGACGCCGGACAUGGGCAGCAGGCCCGGUCUGAGACAGCCGAGGGCUGUCCUUGACCUGUAUAACAAGGUCCAAAGAUGCCCACGGCAGUGCGGCAGCCAGCAGCCGCUGACCUUCCGGGGGGUGGCUGCGCUGCAAAGAGGCUGUAACUGUGGACUGCACAGUAGCCCCAGUCAUCAUGCACCAUUCUUGCAUCCUCACUAGAAUGUCAGCUGUGGCUGGGUGGUCCUAUUUGAUGCUUCUAAUCACUAUUUCUGACUAAUUUAUUUGCUUGGUGUUGGACAUGUCGCUGUUUUGCUGUUUUUUUUUUGGGGGGGGGUGGUGGAUGGCUUGGACAAUAGCACAGUAUAGUAUUUUGAGUACAUCUGUGGUGUCCUGGGCUGAGAGUUGUACCUAUUACUUGUAAAGGUGUGCUGUGUUGUUGCACAGGUCCCCAGGCUUAGUGCUGGUGCUUGCGAGCUAACACAACAGUGCAAUGGUGUGGUGGCUGGUUAACUUAUGUUCACAAGUUUGUUUUAUCCCAUUUAUUGUUAACCUCACUGCUUUUCAUGACAUUUUUCUUUCCUUGGUUUUGCAAAUGCUUUGCUUGGGCUGCAUACUUAGAGCAUGAUGGUCAUGAUGGUGGCUGAAUUCAGUACGCUGAGCUGCAUCCAACCCAUGCUCUAGGACCCCCAUGACAGGGCUGGGAUCCAGCGGAUCCGGCAAUAUGUUGAGUCCGGCCGUCUGGCGGAGCUGAGGCAGCGCCCCAACAUCCAGCCCAAUCUGCAGCUUGAGCGGCAUGCUGCAGGCCAGGGACUACAGCCAGCGACCUCCACUUCCAGGCCUUCCUGAUCGAGGGUCUGGUUAGAUGGAACGCGGAUCGUCACCUGGCGGCGAUCGGACAGGACAGCGCCCGCGAGGUCCGGUGCUACGGACGAGUACAGGGUGCUACGACGGCCGGAUACGGGCAGCCGUCAACGACCUGUCGCAGAGGGUGCUCAAGAGGGACCUAGUCACCAGAAGCGAGCCUCUUCGAUACACGGGUGAGCUCGUCGGGGUCGCCUACCUGUACGGGCAGACGGGCCGUAGGCUCGACGAGUACAGGGUGGGUGACCCCGACACGCAGCACGGCGAGGAUGACGAUGUUGGCGAUGACCUCGACGAGGGAUUCGAGGACGUCGAGGACAUCUUCGUGACCGACGCGUACGAUGGUCUCGAAAUGCCACUUCAGACGCCUCUCCCGGCCGCUCCCGUCGGAGUCCCCAGCCUCGCCGCCGCCGGACCUCAGGGACCCGCUACCGCCCGAGUCCCCAGCUCCGCCGACGCUGGGCCUCAGAGUCCCGCCGACGCUGGGCCUCAGAAUCCCGCCGCCGGACCUCAGAGUCCCGCCGCCGCUGCAGCUCCGGGCUCCGCCGCCGCUGCAGCCGCAGCCGCCGUCGCUGGAGCUCCGGGCCCGGCCGCCGCUGCA
RNAcentral lists this long non-coding RNA (1906 nucleotides) under Amphibalanus amphitrite. RNAcentral's name for it is "uncharacterized LOC122375174, transcript variant X1". Lineage: Eukaryota; Metazoa; Arthropoda; Thecostraca; Balanomorpha; Balanidae. The record is from RNAcentral.